GGUGAGGUGUCCGAGCGGCUGAAGGAGCACGCCUGGAAAGUGUGUAUACGUUAAUAGCGUAUCGAGGGUUCGAAUCCCUCCCUCACCGCCA
Molecule: transfer RNA, 91 nt
Filed under: Pseudomonadales bacterium
Lineage: Bacteria; Pseudomonadati; Pseudomonadota; Gammaproteobacteria; Pseudomonadales
Also listed under: 3 other names
Description: tRNA-Ser
Rfam family: tRNA
About the family: Transfer RNA (tRNA) molecules are approximately 80 nucleotides in length. Their secondary structure includes four short double-helical elements and three loops (D, anti-codon, and T loops).
Source: RNAcentral